This is an RNA transcript of Ictalurus punctatus (channel catfish), 6132 nucleotides long. It is a transcript of the gene named polyamine-modulated factor 1-binding protein 1, with no coding region annotated. The record is from RefSeq and is a predicted model, not a curated record. The transcript is spliced from 41 exons. Lineage: Eukaryota; Metazoa; Chordata; Actinopteri; Siluriformes; Ictaluridae.
UGUCUGUCAAACCAUGCCUAGGACGAGCUGGCGGUAGACACAGAUUGCGGAGCGGGUAGUUCAGAUUUGCUGACCAAUUUUUAAAAAACAAAAAACAAAAAACAGAGUAGUAAAGUACAAAGAAGUAAAAGUACGUUUUCUUGUUUGAGUCGGAAGGGAACUAAAUGUCGAAUGGAAUGAAUUUAGACGUCCAGAGAGAUGAAGGAGAACGAAUUUGGACGAAAUGAGGCACCAGUUAAAGCCGGCUCAAGUGAUGCACCGGGUAACAGUUUCCAUAGGUCUGGAGUGUGUAUGUUGACUGAGAAGCAGCUUGAACACUUCUAACUUCAAGUUAAAUCACGGAAAACAUCACUCAGUUUCCUGAUGAAUUGCCGCUGCUGUGGAAGAUGUAUUCAGGCGUUUUGAUCCGAGGCAGCAGGACGCCACGAGUGAUCGGACACAUCUCUGGACAGUGAAGAAGAAGAAGAAGACUGAUCUCCAUAUGGAAAGGAUGGCCGGUCGGUGCAGAUGCAUCAACCUCCUGACAUGUUUACCACACUUCAGUUGAUCAUUUGGUAACUCCGAGGAUAUUUUUCAGGAACGUUUAAGAGAGGCGAAGCCGUCUGCUGAUUUACAUCUGCUCCAGAAUUCUUUAACCUGAGCACGCUCGGAGGAUGGAGACUUGUCAAGAUGACUUGCUCCAGCAGCUUAGAAAACUUUCUCCGUCUGAACAGGAAGCACAAAUGAAGGUGGAGGAGCGUGAAGCUCAGAUACAGGAGCUACAGGACACGAUCACAGAGCUCCACCAGGAGAUGUCCCUGAAAGACCAGGACAAACUCGGGCAGCUCCAGCAGCUUGUCCAGCUCGAAACCAGGGUCAAGGAGCUCACGCAGGAGUUACAGAGCUCGGCACAGACCAUCGCUCAGCUCAGACACGAGGCCAGAGACGGCGCUGGGAGCAACAGUGUGUUACACAGAGAUGUGUCCGGCGAUCAAACCGCGGCGAGAGGACUAGAACUCUUGAAGAGUGAGUUGACGCAUCGUGACGCGAGCAUCCAGAAGCUCCAGCGAGACCUGCUCCUGUCUCACCAGGCCCGCGAUUCCCAGAGUGCUCAGCUGGACGUCCAGGAGCAGAGGCUGUGGGAGCUGCAGAGGGAGCUGCAGGAGAAGCAGCAGGAGCUGUGGAGAGGACACGACCGCCUCCAGCAGCUCGGCACCGAGCUCCAGAGCACGACGAGGAACGCUCAAGAGCUGCAGGGUCAGGUUGAGAAGCUCAGUGCUGAGCUGUCCUCCAUACAGAGAGGAAGUGAAGCAGAACAGGAGACUCAGAGGAAGUUCAGGGAGCUUCAGGCAGAGCUCUCGGCCACUCGGGUCCGGCUCAGCGACUGCCAGGACGGGAAACGGGCGGCCCUGAAGAGGGCAGACGAACAGAUCCAGCAGCUGCAGGAGGAGGUGUCCAGGCUGAAGCUGCAGCUCCAAUGCGUCAGUCAGCAACAGCAGGAGCGCGGCGCGGAGCUGCGGAGUCUCCAGAAGGCCCACGCCGAGCUGCAGGUCCGAGACGACGAGUGCCGGAGAGAGCUGAGCCGAAUCAGAGACGAGCUACACAACGCCACCCUGAGGGUAGAAGAGCAGCGUCUGAAAGAGGUCCAGAUUGAUGAGCUCCAGCGAGAGGUUGACAGGAUGCUGGCACUGCUGGAGAAAGACGGAGAGGACGGCGGUCAGGAGGAGGAGGCGGAGAGACUGAGGGACGAACAGCGGCGUCUCAAGGACAAGCUCGACGAGCGCGGGGACAGCGUAGCCGCUCUGAGCCUGGAGGCGGAGUUUCUGAGACGGAAAGCGCGCGCCGGCGACCGGGAGGCGGCCGAGCUGUGCCGGCAGCUCUUCGCCUCCCAGGAUGCACUGCAGCGGGUGACUGGUGAGCUCAGGAGCUGCCAGAGAGAGCUCCGAGAACGGGAGGCUCAGAGAGGAGAAGAGGAAGAGAGAGGGGCGGAGCUCAAGGCUGAACUGAAUCAGCUACAGCACCAGUACACCACCUGCUACUCACAGCUGGUGGAGGACGAAGCGUUGGUGUCCAGGUUGAGGACUGAGCUACAGCAGGCUGAAGGACAGAGGGACACACUGGUGUCUCAGCUGCAAGAGCAGCAACAUCAGCUCCAUCUGCUCACAGAGAAACACCGCACAGCUCAGAAGGAGGUGGCCUGCAGAGAUGAUGCGGUGCUGAAGUUAACGGCCGAGCUGAGCGCUGUUCAGGAACACCUGACCUCUGCGCACAGUGAGCUCGCAGGCCAGGUUCAGGAAGUGAACUCUAAAGCUGAGGAGGUCACGACCUUGAAGGAGGAAGUGCGAAGAUUACAGAAGCUCCUGAGUCAGAGGGACGAGACGCUCGAGGAGGAAAAAGGCAGAAACGUCCAGCUUCAGUUCGAGAAAGAAGAUCUUCACGCGCGGUGCGAGAGCCAGCGGGAGGCGCUGUGCGAACUCCGUGCCGAGGUACAGAAGUGGCAGCAGGAGGCGCAGGGCCAAAGGGAGAGCCAGGAGAAGGAGGUGCAGGCGCUGAGGAGUGAGCUGCGGGAGGAGCAGAGUCGCCUCCAUCAGCACAGAUCCAAUCUGGAGCGCCUGCACAGAGAGCUGGAGUCGACGCAGAGACAGCAGAGAGACGCCGAGGACGAGGUCUGCCGUAAGGAAGCAGCCCUGCGCUCUCAGGACUCGGAGAUGACUCGGAUGAAGGCGGAUCUACUCGAGGCUCGAAGAUCGGCGUCGGACGCCGAGGCCCGGCUGCGGCCGCUCGGCGAGUCCGUGCAGCUUUACAAGCAGAAGUACCAGACCUGUGUGAGCAAGAUCGCAGAGCUGGAGAGCACGCUGCAGAGCCACGAGGAGGACCGGAGGCAGAGCAGAGCCCAGGUGGUUGAGCGGGAGGAGCAGGUGGCGCGUCUGCAGGCGGAGAUCGUGGCUCUACGGGGCGACGUGGAGGCGCGCUGUGCUCAGCUGGAGAGCGGAGACGAGGCCCUGACCGCUCUGAGCCGGCGGCUGAGAGACGCGCAGAGGGAGCUGGAGCUAAGCCACGCCCACGCGCAAGAGCGUGAGCUGGUCAUCGACGCACUCCGAGACAACAUGGCCGCCCUGCGCAGUCAGGUGGAAGAGAAGGACGAGGCGGCGCUGAAGCUCCAGUCUGAUUUCUCUCUCUACAGAGCGACUCACACGCGCUCCGAGUCAGACUGCGAAUCCCUCAUUUGUCGCGUCCGCGAACUGGAACAGGCGUUGUCCCAGGCCCUGGAGCGCUCUGGAACCUGUCACUCAGAGCUGGAGAAGCUGAAAGAGGAAGCGCAGGCGCAGAAGCGGCUCAGAGAUGGCAGCCUGGCGGAGGUGCGAAGGCUGCAGGAGUUGAUGAGGAAGCUCCAGGCUGAUGCUGUGUGUGAGGCUCAGAGCAGACAGGCUGACGUGGACGCUCUGGAGCUCAGAGUCAACGAACUGGAGGAACAACUCGAGGCAGCUCGUAGGCAUUGUGUACAGAAGGAACAGGCCGUGCAGAAAAGAGACGCGCUCCUGAGGCAGUCGGAGGCAGACCUGGUCCAGGCGCGAGAUAAGAUCCGAGGCAAGGCGGCGGAGGCAGGGAGGCACGCCGCCACCGUUCAGGCUCUACAGGCAGACCUCCGGCAAGCCAAGAAAGAGAAGCGAGAGAGGGAGGACGAGUGCGGGAAGCUCCGCACACAGCUCCUGCAGAUCCGCGACGAGCUGAAGGAGGCCCGGAGCAGCUGCAGAGACAGCGCUCAGGAACUGGCUCGUCACGAGGAGAAGGUGCUACUGCUGGAGGGCGGGCAUCAGCGAGCGCAGGAGCAGCUGUCGGAGCGAGUAGCCGAGGUGGUCCGGGCUGAGCAGAUCCAGAGGAGACUUCAUGCCGACCUCAGGAGAGUCCAACAAAGUCUGGAAUCCAGCGAGCAGGAGCUCCACGACUGCAGGACUCAGAUGGAACAGGUGAAACUGGAGGCCAGCAGCAGCAGGCAGGCUCAGCUCAGCACCCAGCAGGAGGCUUUACGGCUGCAGCAGGAGAACCAGGAGCUCCAGGACGAGCUGAGCAGCACCAAAGAGACCGUUACACACAUGCAGGAGCAGCUGAGGGAACACUCGGUGACGGCUCAGGCUCUGCGUGUGGAGCUGGCACAGGAGCAGGCCCGGCAGCAGGAACAGCUGGACUGGGUACAGAGGACACGUCAGAGAGAGGACAGCCUGGAGGCUGAGAGAGAUCAGCUCAGAACUGACCUGGAAACAGUCAGAAACCAGCUGCAGGAGCGGGUGUGUGAGCUACACAGCGCCACCCUCAGGCUGCAGGAGGAAGAGGCGGACAAGCGGACGCAGCUGCAGGAGAGAGACGCUCGCAUCCAGACUUUCAGCCAAGAGCAGGCUGAGCGUAGUCAGGAGAUGACACGCUUGCAGCAGCGGCUGAUCCAGCGGGAAGAGAGAAACACCGAGCUGAGUACAGAGCUGCAGCAGCUGCGCAGUCAGAGCCGCCUCUCUCAGGACGAGACUCGGGCGUUUGAGGGGCGUCUGGCGGAGUUAAACGGCCAGCUGGCGCGCUCUCAGCUCUGGGGUCAGCAGCAGCUCGUCACCCUGCAGUCCAGAGAGGAAGAACUGGUGCUCCUGAAGGUGGAGGUAGCCUCCCUCAGAGAGAACUACCGCUCCAAAGUAUCUCAGUUGGACACGUUACACACUGAGCUGGACUCUUUAGAACAGAAGUACAGGGCCGCUGUGAGUGAGGUGGAGGUGUUGAGGCAGGCGUUGGGCGACGCCCGUACUGAUAGUUCCCGUCUGCACCGAGAGAGCGAGCUGGUGGUCACCAACGUCAACCAGUGGGUCAAAGAGCAAAAGCAGGCCAACGAGAAGCUCGGCCUCAAGAUCAGAGACCAGAGCAAGAAGAUCAUCCACCUCACAGCUGAAAAAGAUCAUCUGCAGGAGAACUUGGAGAAGCUGCAGGCGGAGAUCCGCUGGCUGAGGGCGGAGCUCGAUGAGCAAAGAAUGGAGGCAGAGAGAUGCAAGGCGUUUCAGACCCAGAGCGCGAGUGAGCCGCUGCACAGCCGUCAGCCUCCUGCACUUCUGUGCUACAGAGAGCUCGUUACACCCGAGGAAGCUGAUGAUCUCCGCUGUGACAUUUGACUGUUUGCACUUGUGUCCAGCAGUGACGUGGCCUCAGGGGCUACAUGAGAUCCAGAGAGCUGCAGGGAGAUCGGGAAUCUUCGGCCCUCCGCGGGAGAACGUGAGCAGGAAGAAGCCUCCGGCGGUGCGGCCGGAGCGGAGCUGAGGUGCGCGUGCAGAGCCACGCCCGGAUCCAGUUUCGCCGCUGAAGUGGCCCGGCGAGUCGCUCGAAGGGCACUGGAGAGAAGAACCCUGCGUAGGCCGCACGGCUGGGAGUUUACACCACAGCGCUCUCUGAAUGCACAACAUCUCAGGGCUUCUCUGUGACACUGAGACUCUUUCUAAAGUAAUACAGGAUUGAUGGAGAAAAGAUCUGAAUAGAACUGAUGGAGAAUUGGGUUUGUUUAUUUACCUCUGUUUAUUUUAUAAACCUGUUAAACUUGAAUAAUCUCAUGAUGCGUUAUGAUGGAUGAUAUCAGAUAAUGGCGUUUUUUCUUUAGCGGCGAAAAAACGAGCGCGGUUUUCAUUCUUCAGAACGGCAGGCGGCCGAGUGUCAGUGUGUGUUAAUCAUCUCCAAACUUGUUUUGCUCUGAGGUAAAAGGGAAGACGUGAGCCGUUAUUGCAGCUUUCUGCGUGUUUGUUCGCUGCGGUGAUAUUUAAUGUAAUUUUAUUUUUUAUUUUUUUUUUGACAUUUGUCAUAAAAUUUUCUCGGAGGCUUCGAGAUGAAAACUUUUCAAUCCUGGAGGGAUUUGAAAACCUUUAGGGAAGGAUUUUUAUUUUUAUUUUUAAACACAUCUAGUGUCUGUUUUCACGUCUGAUCUUUUUUUUUUUUUGUUCGUUUCUUUGAACAUAAAUCCGACGGUUUGUGUGAAGUUACCGGUGUUUCGUGUGACAUUUUGUUUGUUCACGUAACUGUAGUGUGUAAAGCGUGUCAUGUUUGUGACGAAUCACGUGUCGAUCGUUUAUAUUUACAUUAACGUCACGCUCGAGCUCGAGCCGAGGCGAGGCAUAACCACGUGAUCUCCGAGAC